This 348-nucleotide ribosomal RNA is filed under the name Anablepsoides stagnatus. RNAcentral describes it as "partial 12S ribosomal RNA". It matches the Rfam family "Bacterial small subunit ribosomal RNA", at positions 843 to 1360 of the family's 1533-position model. Lineage: Eukaryota; Metazoa; Chordata; Actinopteri; Cyprinodontiformes; Rivulidae. The record is from RNAcentral.
AGACAGAAAUUUACUUUCCCCUGUCCGCCCGAAAAUUACAAGCAUAAGCUCAAAACUCAAAGGACUUGGCGGCGCUUUAGAUCCACCUAGAGGAGCCUCUCCUAUAACCGAUAACCCCCGUUAAACCUUACCUUCUUUUGCCUUCAGUUUAUAUACCGCCGUCGUCAGCUUACCCUUUGAGGGUCUUAUUAGUAAGCAAAAUCGGUUAAGCCCCAGACGUCAGGUCGAGGUGUAGCAUAUAAGAAGUGAAGAGAUGGGCUACAUUUCCUAAAUUAGGGUCCACGGAUAAUGUUUUGAAAGAAACAUAUUGAAGUAGGAUUUAGCAGUAAGUAAAAAAUAGAGUGUUUU